Molecule: ribosomal RNA, 111 nt
Filed under: uncultured eukaryote
Lineage: Eukaryota
Description: partial small subunit ribosomal RNA
Source: RNAcentral
GUGCCUUCGACAAGGACCGCCGCCGGCUCGUGCUUUGGCUCGGCUCGAUCGGGCUGCUCUUCCUGCUGAUCUGUGCAGGCUCUGCCACCCCCUUCUACCGCCUGUGGUGGU